UGGAAACGAGAUUUCCCUGUGACCUGGACUU
RNAcentral lists this non-coding RNA (31 nucleotides) under Rattus norvegicus (Norway rat). The record is from RNAcentral. Lineage: Eukaryota; Metazoa; Chordata; Mammalia; Rodentia; Muridae.